Long non-coding RNA from Phacochoerus africanus (Common warthog), 301 nucleotides. RefSeq lists it as uncharacterized. The record is from RefSeq and is a predicted model, not a curated record. Lineage: Eukaryota; Metazoa; Chordata; Mammalia; Artiodactyla; Suidae. The transcript is spliced from 2 exons.
UGCAAGUCUCAAGUUUAUUUCCAGAAAAAGGAAUUUGAGAGACACUGAAGUAAAUGCUUUACAAUUUUGCUGUAGAAAGAGCCAAAAAAAGGGAAUAUUUGGACACAGAGGCAUGCCAGGGAGAUGCUAUGUGGCGAAUGGAGUUAUGCUGCCGCAAGCUAGGAAACUACCAGAAACCAGAAGAGACCUGGAACAGAUCCUUCCCUACAGCUGUCAGAGGGGGAAUGGCCCUGUCAACAACUUGAACUCAGACGUCCAGGCUCCAGAACUGUGAGACAAUAAAUUUCUGUUGUUCCAGUCA